CCUACGGGAGGCAGCAGUGAGGAAUAUUGGUCAAUGGACGCGAGCCUGAACCAGCCAAGUAGCGUGAAGGAUGACUGCCCUACGGGUUGUAAACUUCUUUUAUAAGGGAAUAAAGUGUUGCACGUGUCCCCUUUUGUAUGUACCUUAUGAAUAAGCAUCGGCUAACUCCGUGCCAGCAGCCGCGGUAAUACGGAGGAUCCGAGCGUUAUCCGGAUUUAUUGGGUUUAAAGGGAGCGUGGGGGGGGUGUUAAGUCAGUUGUGAAAGUUUGCGGCGCAACCGUAAAAGUGCAGUUGAAACUGGCAGUCUUGAGUACAGUAGAGGUAGGCGGAAUGCGCGGUGUAGCGGUGAAAUGCAUAGAUAUCGCGAAGAACUCCGAUUGCGAAGGCAG
Molecule: ribosomal RNA, 389 nt
Filed under: uncultured bacterium
Lineage: Bacteria
Description: partial 16S ribosomal RNA
Rfam family: Bacterial small subunit ribosomal RNA
Source: RNAcentral